This 489-nucleotide ribosomal RNA is filed under the name uncultured bacterium. RNAcentral's name for it is "bacterial SSU rRNA". It matches the Rfam family "Bacterial small subunit ribosomal RNA", at positions 20 to 507 of the family's 1533-position model. The record is from RNAcentral.
UGGCUCAGAUUGAACGCUGGCGGCAUGCCUUACACAUGCAAGUCGAACGGCAGCGGACCGUUCGGGUGCCGGCGAGUGGCGAACGGGUGAGUAAUAUAUCGGAACGUACCUUCAGUGGGGAUAACGUAGCGAAAGUUACGCUAAUACCGCAUAUUCUGUGAGCAGGAAAGCAGGGGAUCGCAAGACCUUGCGCUGAUUGAGCGGCCGAUAUCAGAUUAGCUAGUUGGUGAGGUAAAGGCUCACCAAGGCGACGAUCUGUAGCGGGUCUGAGAGGAUGAUCCGCCACACUGGAACUGAGACACGGUCCAGACUCCUACGGGAGGCAGCAGUGGGGAAUUUUGGACAAUGGGCGCAAGCCUGAUCCAGCCAUGCCGCGUGAGUGAAGAAGGCCUUCGGGUUGUAAAGCUCUUUCGGCCGGGAAGAAAUCGCACAGGUUAAUACCCUGUGUGGAUGACGGUACCGGAAUAAGAAGCACCGGCUAACUACGUG